RNAcentral lists this ribosomal RNA (468 nucleotides) under uncultured bacterium. Its description in RNAcentral is "partial 16S ribosomal RNA". It matches the Rfam family "Bacterial small subunit ribosomal RNA", at positions 28 to 507 of the family's 1533-position model. The record is from RNAcentral.
GACGAACGCUGGCGGCGUGCUUAACACAUGCAAGUCGAACGGAAAGGCCCUGCUUUUGUGGGGUGCUCGAGUGGCGAACGGGUGAGUAACACGUGAGUAACCUGCCCUUGACUUUGGGAUAACUUCAGGAAACUGGGGCUAAUACCGGAUAGGAGCUCCUGCUGCAUGGUGGGGGUUGGAAAGUUUCGGCGGUUGGGGAUGGACUCGCGGCUUAUCAGCUUGUUGGUGGGGUAGUGGCUUACCAAGGCUUUGACGGGUAGCCGGCCUGAGAGGGUGACCGGCAACAUUGGGACUGAGAUACGGCCCAGACUCCUACGGGAGGCAGCAGUGGGGAUUAUUGCACAAUGGGCGGAAGCCUGAUGCAGCAACGCCGCGUGCGGGAUGACGGCCUUCGGGUUGUAAACCGCUUUCGCCUGUGACGAAGCGUGAGUGACGGUAAUGGGUAAAUAAGCACCGGCUAACUACGUG